Molecule: long non-coding RNA, 315 nt
Filed under: Crocodylus porosus (Australian saltwater crocodile)
Lineage: Eukaryota; Metazoa; Chordata; Crocodylia; Crocodylidae
Description: lncRNA (ENSCPRG00005018031.1)
Source: RNAcentral
GGUGCCCCAGGUGUUCACAACAAAGACAGAGAGAGAGAGAAGAAUUAGGUUAUUUUGUAAAAUGCUUUUUUUCCUAGGGAAGGCUGUGUCUUGGAACUUCUUGCUCAACUGACCUCACAUUUGGACCACUACCACUCCACAGCAUCCCCAGGAGGCAAAGCAGAUUUCAAGAAAAUCUAAGUUAGCAUAAUAGUUCUUGGGUUGUCCCCCUCUCAGCACUUCAACCUACUUCUCCUCACAACUGGAAUGAGAGCUGUCUGGAGAGGUCAUGAUCAAUCUAACUCCAUAUUCAACAAGAAACCAGCCCAGAGAGCA